GUGUCAGCCGCCGCGGUAAUACGUAGGGUGCGAGCGUUGUCCGGAAUUAUUGGGCGUAAAGAGCUCGUAGGCGGCUUGUCGCGUCGGAUGUGAAAGCCCGGGGCUUAACUUCGGGUCUGCAUUCGAUACGGGCAGGCUAGAGUUCGGUAGGGGAGAUCGGAAUUCCUGGUGUAGCGGUGAAAUGCGCAGAUAUCAGGAGGAACACCGGUGGCGAAGGCGGAUCUCUGGGCCGAUACUGACGCUGAGGAGCGAAAGCGUGGGGAGCGAACAGGAUUAGAAACCCCGGUAGUCC
This 292-nucleotide ribosomal RNA is filed under the name uncultured bacterium. Its description in RNAcentral is "partial 16S ribosomal RNA". It matches the Rfam family "Bacterial small subunit ribosomal RNA", at positions 505 to 796 of the family's 1533-position model. The record is from RNAcentral.